RNAcentral lists this ribosomal RNA (375 nucleotides) under uncultured organism. RNAcentral's name for it is "bacterial SSU rRNA". It matches the Rfam family "Bacterial small subunit ribosomal RNA", at positions 526 to 896 of the family's 1533-position model. The record is from RNAcentral.
CGGGGGGAGCAAGCGUUGUUCGGAUUUACUGGGCGUAAAGGGCGGGUAGGCGGCCACUGCAAGUCGGUUGUGAAAUCUCCGGGCUUAACUCGGAAAGGUCAAUCGAUACUGCAGGGCUAGAGUGCAGAAGGGGCAACUGGAAUUCUCGGUGUAGCGGUGAAAUGCGUAGAUAUCGAGAGGAACACCUGCGGCGAAGGCGGGUUGCUGGGCUGACACUGACGCUGAACUGCGAAAGCUAGGGGAGCGAACGGGAUUAGAUACCCCGGUAGUCCUAGCCUUAAACGAUGAAUGCUUGGUGUCUGGGGUUUUAUAGUCCCCGGGUGCCGUCGCUAACGCUUUAAGCAUUCCGCCUGGGGGAGUACGGUCGCAAGACUG